Felis catus (domestic cat) is the source of this 85-nucleotide non-coding RNA. The record is from Rfam. Lineage: Eukaryota; Metazoa; Chordata; Mammalia; Carnivora; Felidae.
ACCUGGGUGGCUUAGUCGGUUGAGCGCCCGACUUGGGCUCAGGUCAUGAUCUCACAGUUCGUGGGUUUGAUCCCCACAUCAGGCU